This 587-nucleotide long non-coding RNA is filed under the name Monodelphis domestica (gray short-tailed opossum). RNAcentral's name for it is "lncRNA (ENSMODG00000035712.2)". The record is from RNAcentral. Lineage: Eukaryota; Metazoa; Chordata; Mammalia; Didelphimorphia; Didelphidae.
CCUUCCUGAAGGAAGCCUGCUUUUUUCUGUUCUAAUUUUAUCUGGCCUGAUUACAUGGUUAUGUUAACUGGGCCCUGUUGUUAGUACUUGUAAAUUGCGUCUGGGCAGUUUGGGAAUUUAGGACCUGAAGAAAUGCAUCUGGAAGACUAUGGUGGAAAAAAAAUCUGAGAAAACUGAAGCCAGUAGAGCCAUUGUGUCUUUCCUAAGGUUUAACAACUCAUUAUUAAUAAAGCUGAAAUCAAAGCCCACAUUCAAGCACUCUCAGAAGAAUCAUACCAUCCUGGCCUUGAAAUGUCUUCUGGAAGCUGGAGAUAUAUGAAGAACACCACUACCCAAUCAAGUAAUGUGGAAUUGGAUGACAAGGAUGCAGUCAGCCCCAGCUUGAACGAAGAAAAAAGAUGGGAAAUUCCCCAAAACAAAUGUAUUCAUCCUGAGAAUUUCCUGUCCUAUUCUCUCUGAUGUAUUUCAGAAUUAAUCCUUCAUCUACCUUCCCCUCCAAGUGGCUGUUCUCUAGGUGAGUAUUUGUCUUAGUUUUCCUUUCCUUCCCUCUGAAUAUUAUUCCUGGGUAGAGAAUAUAUUAGAAGCAG